Diceros bicornis minor is the source of this 994-nucleotide long non-coding RNA. RefSeq lists it as uncharacterized. Lineage: Eukaryota; Metazoa; Chordata; Mammalia; Perissodactyla; Rhinocerotidae. The record is from RefSeq and is a predicted model, not a curated record. The transcript has 3 exons.
GAGUCAAGGAGUUGGGGUCUGAGAAGCUCUAGCUUCUUGAUAUUUUCUGGAUAUCAGUUUUCCUGUAACAAACCUCAAGAACUGGUAAUUAGCCCAAACUUCAGUGUGAGCCCAGCUUGAGGCCACCUGGGCUUUUAACAAUGUGUAACUUCUAUCUGCCUUGUGAAGUUGAGGGAUACGAAGGUCUGAAAAACUGGUAUUUACAGAUGAAUGUAACUUAGAGAAGCAGGGAAAGAGGAUGGGUGCUUUUGGUUUGAACCUCAGAUAUGCUGGGUUUAAUGUAGGGCAACUGAUAUCAGGGCCGGCAUCAAUAACAUACUGGGUUGGCCAGGCUGCAGAAACAGGAACCGCUUGAGAACUCUCGGGGUGCUCCCAGAGUCCCUAUCCCUGAGCUGUGGCUCCCGAGUCCUCUGGGGCGGCGGUACCAGGGACCGUGAGGGUGCAAUACCUUAGCGAAGGCACGAGGCGCCUGGACGAGGCCUGGUGCCGACCGAAGCUUUGCGGGCACAACUGUCUGUGCGAGUUGAUCUGAGCAGGCCUGGUGGGGAGGGGGACUGACUGGAGUGAACCAGACUCACGGGAGGCCCAUGCGCACGCUAGAAGGCGAACUGAGACCAACGGGAGACGCUCCUUUGCAGGGAACGUAAUUGUCUGAGGGUCCAGAUACCUGGGAAACCACAAAGUGACCACCGAAGAGCAUGGAGCCAAGCAGAGAGGUCUUGGAUUGCAGAGGCCCAAAGAGCCACCAUCAUAAGCACAUGCCUGGCGCUGGGAACAGGCUAACCACAGGAGGGAAACACACCUACAAGGUAUCCAUCACAGCUGACAGAAGAAUGGAACAAUGCGAUGCCUGGCGCCCAUCUGUUAUGAGAGGUUCGGGGAUUCGAUCGGAGACGUAAAAGAAACUUCCCACUCCAAACAAAUGGACCGAAGGUUUUGAAGGUCUACAUACCGGAAUCCGGCAACACCCUCCAAGUGCCGCGUACUUACUGCU